Molecule: long non-coding RNA, 231 nt
Organism: Neogale vison (American mink)
Lineage: Eukaryota; Metazoa; Chordata; Mammalia; Carnivora; Mustelidae
Exons: 3
Source: RefSeq, a predicted model, not a curated record
CUUUUCCAAGGGCUAUGCUAACAUGGAGUUUAAAGGUGCCCACGUGAUUUUUCAGGUGCCCACGGAAAGCCUGAUGAUAAUAUGCAGUGUGGAGAGUUCACGUGGAGCUGGAGGGAUGGAGGUUGCAGAGAGGAUGGGGCAGGAGAGGGCAAGACCAUGGGAAUAUACCUACACUCAAUUUUUUAGCAGGUUACCCCCGUGGUGGUAGUUUUGGGGACUGGAGACUCAGGA